RNAcentral lists this ribosomal RNA (465 nucleotides) under uncultured bacterium. RNAcentral's name for it is "partial 16S ribosomal RNA". It matches the Rfam family "Bacterial small subunit ribosomal RNA", at positions 28 to 507 of the family's 1533-position model. The record is from RNAcentral.
GACGAACGCUGGCGGCGUGCUUAACACAUGCAAGUCGAACGGAAAGGCCCUGCUUGCAGGGUACUCGAGUAGCGAACGGGUGAGUAACACGUGGGUGAUCUGCCCUGCACUUCGGGAUAAGCCUGGGAAACUGGGUCUAAUACCGGAUAGGAGCCAUUUUUAGUGUGAUGGUUGGAAAGUUUUUUCGGUGUAGGAUGAGCUCGCGGCCUAUCAGCUUGUUGGUGGGGUAAUGGCCUACCAAGGCGGCGACGGGUAGCCGGCCUGAGAGGGUGGACGGCCACAUUGGGACUUGGAUACGGCCCAGACUCCUACGGGAGGCAGCAGUGGGGAAUAUUGCACAAUGGGCGCAAGCCUGGUGCAGCGACGCCGCGUGGGGGAUGACGGCCUUCGGGUUGUAAACUCCUUUCGCUAGGGACGAAGCUUUUUGUGACGGUACCUAGAUAAGAAGCACCGGCUAACUACGUG